GGUGGUGGUAGGCAUUUCUUGCUGAGAGAUAUGUAUGAUGAUAUGAUGCUGGAUGGAGUACAGCCAACUAGGGAUACAUUCCAUUCUGUCAUCAGUUAGUGGAAAGGUGGAUAAGCAAAAUGCUCAUUUCUUUGGUGUUACGAUCAACGAGCAACAAGCCGAGUGUGGUAUUGUAGUAAGAGUUACUUCAAAUGCACAAAGCAAAUUUAAGUUACUUUAUUUCGAGCAAGAUGUGAAUGGCGGUUAUGGUUUGGCCCUACAGGUACCAUAUCUUCUUUCCU
Molecule: long non-coding RNA, 281 nt
Organism: Ziziphus jujuba (common jujube)
Lineage: Eukaryota; Viridiplantae; Streptophyta; Magnoliopsida; Rosales; Rhamnaceae
Exons: 3
Source: RefSeq, a predicted model, not a curated record